This 516-nucleotide ribosomal RNA is filed under the name uncultured bacterium. RNAcentral's name for it is "bacterial SSU rRNA". It matches the Rfam family "Bacterial small subunit ribosomal RNA", at positions 541 to 1118 of the family's 1533-position model. The record is from RNAcentral.
UUGUCCGGAAUUAUUGGGCGUAAAGGGCGCGCAGGCGGCGUCGUAAGUCGGUCUUAAAAGUGCGGGGCUUAACCCCGUGAGGGGACCGAAACUGCGAUGCUGAGUAUCGGAGAGGAAAGCGGAAUUCCUAGUGUAGCGGUGAAAUGCGUAGAUAUUAGGAGGAACACCAGUGGCGAAAGCGGCUUUCUGGACGACAACUGACGCUGAGGCGCGAAAGCCAGGGGAGCAAACGGGAUUAGAUAUCCCGGUAGUCCUGGCCGUAAACGAUGGAUACUAGGUGUAGGACUGUGCCGGAGUUAACGCAAUAAGUAUCCCGCCUGGGGAGUACGGCCGCAAGGCUGAAACUCAAAGGAAUUGACGGGGCCCGCACAAGCGGUGGAGUAUGUGGUUUAAUUCGACGCAACGCGAAGAACCUUACCAAGCCUUGACAUUCAGGUGGUGCACGGCUGUCGUCAGCUCGUGUCGUGAGAUGUUGGGUUAAGUCCCGCAACGAGCGCAACCCCUAUCUUCUGUUAC